This 269-nucleotide ribosomal RNA is filed under the name uncultured prokaryote. Its description in RNAcentral is "partial 16S ribosomal RNA". It matches the Rfam family "Bacterial small subunit ribosomal RNA", at positions 505 to 773 of the family's 1533-position model. The record is from RNAcentral.
GUGCCAGCCGCCGCGGUAAUACGGAGGGUGCGAGCGUUAAUCGGAAUUACUGGGCGUAAAGCGCACGCAGGCGGUUUGUUAAGCUAGAUGUGAAAGCCCCGGGCUCAACCUGGGAUGGUCAUUUAGAACUGGCAGACUAGAGUCUUGGAGAGGGGAGUGGAAUUCCAGGUGUAGCGGUGAAAUGCGUAGAUAUCUGGAGGAACAUCAGUGGCGAAGGCGACUCCCUGGCCAAAGACUGACGCUCAUGUGCGAAAGUGUGGGUAGCGAAC